GAUGAACGCUGGCGGCGUGCCUAAUACAUGCAAGUAGAACGCUGAAGGAGGAGCUUGCUCUUCUGGAUGAGUUGCGAACGGGUGAGUAACGCGUAGGUAACCUGCCUGGUAGCGGGGGAUAACUAUUGGAAACGAUAGCUAAUACCGCAUAACAGUAGAUGUUGCAUGACAUCUACUUGAAAGGUGCAAUUGCAUCACUACCAGAUGGACCUGCGUUGUAUUAGCUAGUUGGUGAGGUAACGGCUCACCAAGGCGACGAUACAUAGCCGACCUGAGAGGGUGAUCGGCCACACUGGGACUGAGACACGGCCCAGACUCCUACGGGAGGCAGCAGUAGGGAAUCUUCGGCAAUGGGGGGAACCCUGAUCGAGCAACGCCGCGUGAGUGAAGAAGGUUUUCGGAUCGUAAAGCUCUGUUGUAAGAGAAGAACGAGUGUGAGAGUGGAAAGUUCACACUGUGACG
RNAcentral lists this ribosomal RNA (462 nucleotides) under Streptococcus australis. RNAcentral's name for it is "bacterial SSU rRNA". It matches the Rfam family "Bacterial small subunit ribosomal RNA", at positions 28 to 474 of the family's 1533-position model. Lineage: Bacteria; Bacillati; Bacillota; Bacilli; Lactobacillales; Streptococcaceae. The record is from RNAcentral.